CCGCGUGAGGGAAGACUGCCUAUGGGUUAUAAACCUCUUUUUUCAGGGAGGAAUAAUGACGUGUACCUGAAGAAUAAGCAUCGGCUAACUCCGUGCCAGCAGCCGCGGUAAGACGGAGGAUGCAAGUGUUAYCCSGAAUCANUGGGCGUAAAGCGUCUGUAGGUUGUUGUUUAAGUCAACUGUUAAAUCUUGAAGCUCAACUUCGAAAUCGCAGUCGAAACUAUUCAACUAGAGUAUAGUAGGGGUAAAGGGAAUUUCCACUGGAGCGGUGAAAUGCAUAGAUAUUGGAAAGAACACCGAUGGCGAA
This 307-nucleotide ribosomal RNA is filed under the name uncultured diatom. Its description in RNAcentral is "bacterial SSU rRNA". It matches the Rfam family "Bacterial small subunit ribosomal RNA", at positions 397 to 719 of the family's 1533-position model. Lineage: Eukaryota; Bacillariophyta. The record is from RNAcentral.